RNAcentral lists this ribosomal RNA (360 nucleotides) under uncultured bacterium. RNAcentral's name for it is "partial 16S ribosomal RNA". It matches the Rfam family "Bacterial small subunit ribosomal RNA", at positions 338 to 709 of the family's 1533-position model. The record is from RNAcentral.
CCUACGGGUGGCAGCAGUCGAGAAUCAUUCACAAUGAGGGAAACCCUGAUGGUGCGACGCCGCGUGGGGGAAUGAAGGUCUUCGGAUUGUAAACGCCUGUCAUGUGGGAGCAAAUUAAAAAGAUAGUACCACAAGAGGAAGAGACGGCUAACUCUGUGCCCGCAGCCGCGGUAAUACAGAGGUCUCAAGCGGUGUUCGGAAUCACUGGGCCUAAGGGGUGCGUAGGCUGUUUCGUAAGUCGUGUGGGAAAGGCGCGGGCUCAAGCCCCGGACGGCACAUGAUACUGGCAGACUAGAGUAAGAGAGGGGGAAGCGGAAUUCUAGGUGUAGCAGUGAAAUGCGUAGAUAUAGAGAAGAACAC